RNAcentral lists this ribosomal RNA (1749 nucleotides) under metagenome. RNAcentral's name for it is "bacterial LSU rRNA". It matches the Rfam family "Bacterial large subunit ribosomal RNA", at positions 1284 to 2911 of the family's 2925-position model. The record is from RNAcentral.
AUAUUUGAGAAUGCAGACAUGAGUAGCGAGAGACGGGUGAAGAUCCCGUCCGCUGGAUGACCAAGGGUUCCAGGGCCACGUUCAUCGUCCCUGGGUGAGUCGGGUCCUAAGGCGAGGCCGACAGGCGUAGUCGAAUGGAUGAACGGGUCGAUAUUCCCGUACCGGCUUUCAGCCGCCAAAACCGAGGCUUGGAGUACUAACCUCCGGGUCCGGGCUUACUGCUCCUUCGGGGGCGGGAUGCCCUGGCCUGUUGGGACCGAUCCUUGUAGUAGGUCAGCGCAGGAGUGACGCAGAAGGGUAGCCGGCCGCGGAGGUGGUCUUCCGUGGUCAAGCACGCAGGGCGUGGGACAGGCAAAUCCGUCCCGCAUGGGUCCGAGGUGCGAUGAUGGGGGCCUUAUGGCCCGAUAUCCGGUGAUCCCGGCUGCCGAGAAAAGCUUCGGCGUCAGGCUCAAAGCCGCCCGUACCCCAAACCGACACUGGUGGUCAGGUAGAGAAUACCAAAGCGAUCGAGCGAAUCCUGGUCAAGGAACUCGGCAAAUCACUCCCGUUCCUUCGGUUUAAGGGAGACCCCCGAUGGUGAACACACUUGCUGUGGGAGCUUUUGGGGGUGGCACAGACCAGGGGGUAGCGACUGUUUACCAAAAACACAGGUGCGUGCGAAGGCGCAAGCCGCUGUAUAUGCACUGACGCCUGCCCGGUGCCGGAAGGUUAAGAGGAUCCGUCAGCCUUCGGGUGAAGCGGUGAAUUCAAGCCCCGGUAAACGGCGGUGGUAACAAUAACCAUCCUAAGGUAGCGAAAUUCCUUGUCGGGUAAGUUCCGACCUGCACGAAUGGCGUAACGACUUCCCCACUGUCUCGACCAGGAGCUCGGCGAAAUUGCAGUACGAGUAAAGAUGCUCGUUAAGCGCAGAAGGACGAAAAGACCCCGGGACCUUUACUAUACCUUGGUAUUGGCAUUCGGUGUGGAUUGUGUAGCAUAGGCGGGAGGCCGAGAGGCGCGGUCGCCAGAUCGCGCGGAGCCGUAGGGUGAAAUACCGCUCUGUUCGCAUUGGAUGUCUAACCUCGAACAGUCAUCCUGUUCAGGGACAGUGCCUGGCGGGUAGUUUAACUGGGGCGGUUGCCUCCCAAAGAGUAACGGAGGCGCCCAAAGGUCCGCUCAGCCCGGUUGGCAGUCGGGUGGCGAGUGCAAGUGCACAAGCGGGCUUGACUGCGAGAACGACGGUCCGAGCAGGGACGAAAGUCGGGACUAGUGAUCCGGUGCCGGUGUACGGACGCGGCAUCGCUCAACGGAUAAAAGGUACUCCGGGGAUAACAGGCUGAUCAUUCCCAAGAGUCCAUAUCGACGGGAUGGUUUGGCACCUCGAUGUCGGCUCGUCGCAUCCUGGGGCUGGAGCAGGUCCCAAGGGUUCGGCUGUUCGCCGAUUAAAGCGGCACGCGAGCUGGGUUCAGAACGUCGUGAGACAGUUUGGUCUCUAUCCUCUGCGCUCGUUGGAAUGCUGAGGAGGCCUGCCCAUAGUACGAGAGGACCUGGGUGGACGAACCUCUGGUAUGCCGGUUGUCACGCCAGUGGCACGGCCGGUUGGCUACGUUCGGAAGGGAUAACCGCUGAAAGCAUCUAAGCGGGAAGCCUGCUCCAAGAUAAGCAUUCCGUGGAACCUUCGAGUUCCUGUAGUCCCCAUGCAGAACACGUGGUCGAUAGGCCGGACGUGGAAGCCCCGCGAGGGGUGGAGCCGACCGGUACUAACGGACG